AAACCAUUUUUCCCCCUAAGUCUAGGCGAUAAAAAAGGAAAUCCGGAGCAAUAGAAAAAGUACCGCAAGGGAAAGCUGAAAGAGAGAUGAAACAGCCCAGUUGAAGCUUAACAAAGCAGAGAUCAAAACUCGUACCUUUUGCAUCAUGAUUUAGCUAGAACCUUCAAGCAAAGAGAACUGGGAGUUUGAACCCCCGAAACUGGGUGAGCUACUCCAAGACAGCCUUUACUGUAGGGCAAACCCGUCUCUGUGGCAAAAGAGUGGGAAGAACUUUGAGUAGAAGUGACAGACUUACCGAACCCAGUAAUAGCUGGUUGCUCGUGAAUUGGAUAGAAGUUCAGCCCCCAACACUUUUUCCUUAGCCACAAUCACGGGUCACCCCGUAUUUAUUUUGGACAAAAAGAAAACUUGGGAGGUUAGUCAAAGGGGGUACAGCCCCUUUGAAACAAGAUACAACUUUUGCAGACGGAUAAAGAUCAUAUUUACCAAGGGUAAAUGUUCUAGUGGGCCUGAAAGCAGCCACCUUAAAUAACAGCGUUAAAGCUCAAACAUGAACCCCGCCCCCCAAUACCGAUACCACCUCUAAACCCCCUAACACCUAACGAGCCGCCCCAUGCGCACAUGGGGACGACCAUGCUAAUAUGAGUAAUAAGAGGGUAUUUAAAACUCUCUCCCUGCACGAGUGUAAGUCGGAUCGGACCUACCACCGAGCAUUAACGGCCCCAAUCAAAGAGGGCACUGGAAGUCUCCACCAACUGACUAGAAGAGCAUCCAGCAUACUCCCGUUACCCCUACACUGGUGUGCGUCCUGGGAAAGACUAACCGGGGAAGAAGGAACUCGGCAAAUAUACCUAAAGCCUCGCCUGUUUACCAAAAACAUCGCCUCUUGCAAACCGCAGUAUAAGAGGUCCUGCCUGCCCAGUGACAAAUUGUUCAACGGCCGCGGUAUUUUGACCGUGCUAAGGUAGCGUAAUCACUUGUCUUUUAAAUGAAGACCCGUAUGAAUGGCAAAACGAGGGCUUAACUGUCUCCUUUCCCAAGUCAAUGAAAUUGAUCUCCCCGUGCAGAAGCGGGGAUAACACCAUAAGACGAGAAGACCCUAUGGAGCUUUAGACAAACGACUGAACCGUAUUCCCUGGCCCCUUCUCACAGGAACUAAAUUUAAUGGACCCUCUUUCAAUGUCUUCGGUUGGGGCGACCAUGGGGAAAACAAAACCCCCAAGUGGAAUAGGGGUAACGAAAACGUCGAUUACACCCCUUAAGGUAGAGCGACAGCUCAACACAACAGAAAUUCUGACCAAAAUGAUCCGGACAUUCCGAUCAACGAACCAAGUUACCCUAGGGAUAACAGCGCAAU
This 1357-nucleotide ribosomal RNA is filed under the name Tephrinectes sinensis. Its description in RNAcentral is "16S ribosomal RNA". It matches the Rfam family "Bacterial large subunit ribosomal RNA", at positions 440 to 2486 of the family's 2925-position model. Lineage: Eukaryota; Metazoa; Chordata; Actinopteri; Pleuronectiformes; Paralichthyidae. The record is from RNAcentral.